CCCAAACCUGUCUAUCUAUCAUGUAAAACGACAAAUCUUAGUUAGAAGGUUAAAUUUAAUGUAGAUAAAAAACUAUGUGCUAUUGGCCUGGGAUUGAGGCGUAAUUGUUAUUAUUUUUGUAAAAAAUUAUGUGCUGCUCUCAUGUCAAAAGUUACUUAUUGCAUUUAAUCAAUCAAUGUGUUAUAAGAAAAUGACUGCAUUAACCAUAUAUUUAAAUACUCAUAAAAGAAAAACUAUAAAUUUUAUAAUGGGUAAGUGUAAGCUUAGAUGAGAAAAAAGUGAAAAUGGCAGAGAAUGUACUCAUUCCGCAGUGGCUUCAUGAUCUCUCUUAGGAAGUGAAAUUGGAAAUGUCUUAACAUGUUUUUCUUAUGUCCUCUCCCCCAUUAUCUGGAAAAAUACCAGUUGAUGCUUCAAACUGCCUAGGUAGUCAAAGUUAUCAAAAAAUUUAUAUAUGUGAAUUUAAGUUUGUAUUUUGAGCUAAGUAACUAGGUAGUCAAAGUUAGCAAAAAAUUUAUAUAAAUGUGUUAUAGCAAGUGACGGAGUUUGGCUAAUACAGCAAAGUUUUAAAAAAGUGUGAAAAUGGAUGUGGAUAUAAUAAAUUAUUAAGGUGAUGCUCUAAGUCAAGGUAGUAGUUAUGUUAUUGAGAGAUACCAGUUCACCAGCAAAUACAGUGGUCAAUCCAUCUGCAACUUGACCUGAGAGCAUUACAACUGCAGCAUCACU
Molecule: long non-coding RNA, 723 nt
Filed under: Nicotiana benthamiana
Lineage: Eukaryota; Viridiplantae; Streptophyta; Magnoliopsida; Solanales; Solanaceae
Description: long non-coding RNA (NBEN_LNC020199)
Source: RNAcentral